UUUACAAACAUUUUGAGAUGGAGGUAGAGAGAGAAAGUGGAUCUAAAGGAGAAAAGAAAAGAUGAACUAGAGAGAGAAAGUUUGGGAUUGGAGGCUAGGAGCUAAAUUGAAGUUAGGGUUUGGAUUCUUGAAGAUUAUAGACGGCGCGUAGGAUUAGUUGCUUUCUUUUGGUGAGUAUGCUUGGAUGAUAGCUUUGGUCGGAGCUACCUCGUUUAUCGCUUUGAUGUCGUAGUUCAUAGGGCUCUGAUUAGGUAUCGGACCUAGAUGUUUUAUUAUUAUAUAUCUAUUGGAGAUUUUUGAGACUAUGUAGUGAUAUGAGUUGUAUGAUGACAUGGCUAGUGACUUAUUAUAUUAUAGUUUAUUGUUGUGGUGAUUACUUUUAUUUGAUGAAGAGGUGCUAUUAUUAUUC
Long non-coding RNA from Medicago truncatula (barrel medic), 409 nucleotides. RefSeq lists it as uncharacterized. The transcript is spliced from 2 exons. Lineage: Eukaryota; Viridiplantae; Streptophyta; Magnoliopsida; Fabales; Fabaceae. The record is from RefSeq and is a predicted model, not a curated record.